RNAcentral lists this transfer RNA (538 nucleotides) under uncultured cyanobacterium. RNAcentral describes it as "partial contains 16S ribosomal RNA, 16S-23S ribosomal RNA intergenic spacer, and 23S ribosomal RNA". The stretch from base 211 to 283 matches the Rfam family "tRNA". Lineage: Bacteria; Bacillati; Cyanobacteriota. The record is from RNAcentral.
CAGGGAGACAACAAAAUGUUAAAUAUUAAUUUUGUCACCUUAGGUCGAUCGGUAUCUCACAUUCUUAAUCAAUUUAAGAAUUUUAUUUCCUAAGUUUUUCUAGGUCACACCCAUCAUUUUCCCUGGGCCAUUAGCUCAGGUGGUUAGAGCGCACCCCUGAUAAGGGUGAGGUCCCUGGUUCAAGUCCAGGAUGGCCCAUAUCUCUAUGUUGGGGGUAUAGCUCAGUUGGUAGAGCGCCUGCUUUGCAAGCAGGAUGUCAGCGGUUCGAGUCCGCUUACCUCCACUGAUUACCACCUCUUCCAUAAUUUAAAGAAGGGAAAUUUUAGGUUGUGAUCUAAUUCUGAACGAAUCUAGCUUCCUAAUUAAACUUAUUAAGAUGCUGGACUCAUUGAAUUAAUUUCAUUGUUUUCAGAGAACCUUGACAACUGCAUAGAUUAUUUUUAAAGACAAUAAGCAUCUUUAAUGAUGCAGAUUUAUUAUUUGUGCUAAUGCAUUAAUAACAAUUCUAUUAAGCUGAUGCUUCAUUUUUGAAGUUAUU